GCUAAACGCGAAGAACCUUACCAAGGCUUGACAUGGAUUUCUAAGCACGUGAAAGCGUGUGACCCUUCGGGGGACUUCCACAGGUGCUGCAUGGCCGUCGUCAGCUCGUGUCGUGAGAUGUUGGGUUAAGUCCCGCAACGAGCGCAACCCUUGUGAACAGUUGCCAGCGCGUCAUGGCGGGAACUCUGUUCAGACUGCCCAGAUCAACUGGGAGGAAGGUGGGGACGACGUCAGGUCAGUAUGGCCCUUACGCCUUGGGCUGCACACGUACUACAAUGCCCAGCACAAUGAGAACCGAUGCCGCGAGGUGGAGGAAAUCUGCAAAACUGGGCUCAGUUCGGAUUGGAGGCUGCAACUCGCCUCCAUGAAGUUGGAAUCGCUAGUAAUGGGGCAUCAUCUACGGCCCCGUGAAUACGUUCCCGGG
Molecule: ribosomal RNA, 424 nt
Filed under: uncultured bacterium
Lineage: Bacteria
Description: bacterial SSU rRNA
Rfam family: Bacterial small subunit ribosomal RNA
Source: RNAcentral